Molecule: unclassified non-coding RNA, 253 nt
Filed under: uncultured Bacteroidales bacterium
Lineage: Bacteria; Pseudomonadati; Bacteroidota; Bacteroidia; Bacteroidales
Description: contains 16S-23S intergenic spacer region
Rfam family: Bacterial small subunit ribosomal RNA
Source: RNAcentral
UACGGAGGAUUCGAGCGUUAUCCGGAUUUAUUGGGUUUAAAGGGUGCGUAGGCGGAUUAUUAAGUCAGCGGUGAAAGUUUGCGGCUCAACCGUAAAAUUGCCGUUGAAACUGGUAGUCUAGAGUGCGAAUGAGGCAGGCGGAAUGUGACGUGUAGCGGUGAAAUGCUUAGAUAUGUCACAGAACACCGAUUGCGAAGGCAGCUUGCUAGAACGCUACUGACGCUGAGGCACGAAAGCGUGGGGAUCAAACAGG